This 409-nucleotide ribosomal RNA is filed under the name uncultured microorganism. RNAcentral's name for it is "bacterial SSU rRNA". It matches the Rfam family "Bacterial small subunit ribosomal RNA", at positions 9 to 420 of the family's 1533-position model. The record is from RNAcentral.
GAGUUUGAUCUUGGCUCAGAUUGAACGCUGGCGGCAUGCCUUACACAUGCAAGUCGAACGGUAACAGGUCUUCGGAUGCUGACGAGUGGCGAACGGGUGAGUAAUACAUCGGAACGUGCCCGAUCGUGGGGGAUAACGGAGCGAAAGCUUUGCUAAUACCGCAUACGAUCUACGGAUGAAAGCAGGGGACCGCAAGGCCUUGCGCGGACGGAGCGGCCGAUGGCAGAUUAGGUAGUUGGUGGGAUAAAAAGCUUACCAAGCCGACGAUCUGUAGCUGGUCUGAGAGGACGACCGAGCCACACUGGGACUGAGACACGGCCCAGACUCCUACGGGAGGCAGCAGUGGGGAAUUUUGGACAAUGGGCGAAAGCCUGAUCCAGCCAUGCCGCGUGCAGGAUGAAGGCCUCGG